AAUUCCAUGGCAUGUGAGACAUUCCUUUUUUGAAAAGGCAAGCAGCUGAUAUAGCAUGCUGUAGCACAAAAGGAGUAAGUUAAAAUGCCAAAAAAUAUUUCCAGGGAAAGGGAAGUCAAAAUAUAGUGAUAUAUGUACUCUGCGUUGUUAAGGUCUUCAAAUUUGAGUGAAGCGUGCCUGCGAGGACGUACCUACUGUGUUGUGCCACCGAUUGACUGCAAACAGCCUGCU
This is a non-coding RNA of Taeniopygia guttata (zebra finch), 231 nucleotides long. NCBI's taxonomy places the organism in Eukaryota, Metazoa, Chordata, Aves, Passeriformes, Estrildidae. The record is from RefSeq and is a predicted model, not a curated record.